Oryzias melastigma (Indian medaka) is the source of this 853-nucleotide long non-coding RNA. RefSeq lists it as uncharacterized. The record is from RefSeq and is a predicted model, not a curated record. Lineage: Eukaryota; Metazoa; Chordata; Actinopteri; Beloniformes; Adrianichthyidae. The transcript is spliced from 3 exons.
AGAUGAAGAUGGAGAUGAAGAUGAAGAUGAAGAUGGAGAUGAAGAUGAAGAUGAAGAUGGAGAUGUAGAUGAAGAUGGAGAUGAAGAUGAAGAUGAAGAAAACCCCGUUAGUCUGAUUUCACUCAGAAACAUUCGUGUCUCCUCUUCUGUUUUCUGCAUUACAGUCAAACUUUAAGUUUGUUUGUGGAGGAGUAAAUGGUCCCUGGAGUCUGCUGAAUGGAGAAGAGGACUGCUGAUGAACACUGACCAACCUGUGGAUGAACAUCUGAGGAGAGAACAGACCAUAAUAGUCUGGUCAGAGGAUGCUGGUCUCCUCAGUGUAGGAACACGUCCAGAGAUCCAGUGGAUCCAGGAGGAAUCAUGUGACCUCCAUGUUUAUCAAAUCCGGAGGCUUUGACCCCUGAACACCAUCAGAGAGGCAUGAUUUCUUUUUUCAGUCUGGUCAUGUGACUGAGAGCUUUGAUUCCACUCGUCUGCAGUCUGCGCUCUUAUCUGGUUCUGUUUCUCUAAAACUUUAAAUGUUGGAGUUUGUUACACUUCUUUUGUAAGCCUACAAACUGACCCAGCCCCCCAUCAGAGAAGAAAACCGCUAUGUGGCCCUCACAAGAAAAGCUUGGGGGACCCCAGAUCAGAUCUGAUCAGAUGAUCAGAUCGUGGGAUUUUGUCACCUAAACUGCAUUUCCAAAGUUUUUAAAAACAUCUUCAAUCCCGCUGUGUCCAUCUGCUCCUGUUUUUACAGGAGCUGGACGUUCUUCAGGUGAGCCACAGGUGUCCUCUGGUCCUUAGGAGGGUUCUGACUAAACACCUGAGUUUCAGAGUAAAAGACUCAACUGUCAACAAGCUGCCAGUGAUG